Molecule: ribosomal RNA, 253 nt
Filed under: uncultured bacterium
Lineage: Bacteria
Description: partial 16S ribosomal RNA
Rfam family: Bacterial small subunit ribosomal RNA
Source: RNAcentral
UACAGGGGGGGCGAGCGUUGUUCGGAAUUACUGGGCGUAAAGGGCUCGUAGGCGGCCAACUAAGUCCGACGUGAAAUCCCCAAGCUUAACUUGGGAACUGCGUCGGAUACUGGAUGGCUUGAAUUCGGGAGAGGGAUGUGGAAUUCCAGGUGUAGCGGUGAAAUGCGUAGAUAUCUGGAGGAACACCGGUGGCGAAGGCGGCAUCCUGGACCGGCAUUGACGCUGAGGCGCGAAAGCCAGGGGAGCAAACGGG